AGCAGCCGCGGUAAUUCCAGCUCCAAUAGCGUAUAUUAAAGUUGUUGCAGUUAAAAAGCUCGUAGUUGAAUUUCGGGAUCAUCAGGUUGGUCGUGCCACUGGUAUGUACUUUCCUUGAUGGUCCCUCCCUCUUGAAGAACCGUAAUGCCAUUAAUUUGGUGUUGCGGGGAAUCAGGACUGUUACUUUGAAAAAAUUAGAGUGUUUAAAGCAGGCAAACGCUUGAAUACAUUAGCAUGGAAUAAUGAAAUAGGACGUUUGAUCUUAUUUUGUUGGUUUCUAGGAUCGACGUAAUGAUUAAUAGGGAUAGUUGGGGGCAGUUAGUAUUCAAUUGUCAGAGGUGAAAUUCUUGGAUUUUAUUGAAGACUAACUACUGCGAAAGCAUUUGCCAAGGAUGUUUUCAUUAAUCAAGAACGAAAGUUAGGGGAUCGAAGACGAUCAGAUACCGUCGUAGUCUUAACCAUUAAACUAUGCCGACUAGGGAUCGGAUGAUGUUAAUUUUUUAAUGUACUCAUUCGGCGUCCUUACGGGUAAAACC
This 536-nucleotide ribosomal RNA is filed under the name uncultured fungus. RNAcentral describes it as "SSU rRNA". It matches the Rfam family "Eukaryotic small subunit ribosomal RNA", at positions 569 to 1099 of the family's 1831-position model. The record is from RNAcentral. Lineage: Eukaryota; Fungi.